RNAcentral lists this ribosomal RNA (530 nucleotides) under Salmonella enterica subsp. enterica serovar Virchow. RNAcentral describes it as "partial 23S ribosomal RNA". It matches the Rfam family "Bacterial large subunit ribosomal RNA", at positions 663 to 1191 of the family's 2925-position model. RNAcentral also lists the same sequence under 2 other names. Lineage: Bacteria; Pseudomonadati; Pseudomonadota; Gammaproteobacteria; Enterobacterales; Enterobacteriaceae. The record is from RNAcentral.
GAGCCGGAGGGAAACCGAGUCUUAAUUGGGCGUUAAGUUGCAGGGUAUAGACCCGAAACCCGGUGAUCUAGCCAUGGGCAGGUUGAAGGUUGGGUAACACUAACUGGAGGACCGAACCGACUAAUGUUGAAAAAUUAGCGGAUGACCUGUGGCUGGGGGUGAAAGGCCAAUCAAACCGGGAGAUAGCUGGUUCUCCCCGAAAGCUAUUUAGGUAGCGCCUCGUGAAUUCAUCUCCGGGGGUAGAGCACUGUUUCGGCUAGGGGGCCAUCCCGGCUUACCAACCCGAUGCAAACUGCGAAUACCGGAGAAUGUUAUCACGGGAGACACACGGCGGGUGCUAACGUCCGUCGUGAAGAGGGAAACAACCCAGACCGCCAGCUAAGGUCCCAAAGUCAUGGUUAAGUGGGAAACGAUGUGGGAAGGCCCAGACAGCCAGGAUGUUGGCUUAGAAGCAGCCAUCAUUUAAAGAAAGCGUAAUAGCUCACUGGUCGAGUCGGCCUGCGCGGAAGAUGUAACGGGGCUAAACCAUG